AUUCAUUGUUUAUGCACCACACCCAGUGCUACAGAUGGAGCUUUUAAUUCUUGUAGUCACUUUGGAGUCAAGUAACAUUAAACACCAUGACAAGAAUCGGGAGUCCCUGUCCAUCAGCAGCAGUAGGUGGUUGUAUCAAGAGUUGUUUUGGGUAAUUCAGUUUUUUUUCCAUUUCCGUACAAAAUUUUUAAUCACUUCGUCAACUUCUACUUUAAAAAAAAACUGGUAAGUUUUAAUUGGAAUUCUUUGAAUCUAUAGAUCAGUUUCAGCAGGAUUGACACAUUAACAGUCUUGACUCUUCUGAUAUGUGCAAACAUUGUCUCUCUCCAUUUAUUUAAAUCUUCAAAUUUCUGAGCAACAUUAGAAAUAUAUGUGUAUGUAUAUAAAAUAUAUAUGUUUUUAACAUAAAGAUUUGGAUAUUUGUUGCCAGAUUUACCCUUAAGUAUUUAAUAUCUAUUUUUAAGAUUUUAUUUAUUUAUUUAUUUGACAGAGAUCACAAGUAGGCAGGCAGAGAGGGAAAGAGGAGGAAGCAGGCUCGCCUCCGAGCAGAGAGCCCGAUGUGGGGCUUGAUCCCAGGACUCUGGGAUCAUGACCUGAGUCGAAGGCAGAGGCUUUAGCCCACUGAGCCACCCAGGCGCCCUGAGUAUUUAAUAUUUUAAUAUUAUGUUAAAUGGUACUAAUUUUUACUUCACUUUCUAAUUGUUUACUGUUAUUAUAUAGAAAUACCAUAGAUUUUUACUUAUGUUUCAAGUUUUUAUUUAAAUUUUAAUUAGUUAACAGGCAGUGUAGUAUUUGUUUCAGGAGUAGAAUUUUGUGAUUCAUCACUUGUAUAUAACACCCCCGGCUCAUCAUAAGUGUUCUCCUUAAUACCCAUCACUCAUUUAGUGCAUCUUCCUGCCAACUUUCCCCCUCACCAGCAACACUGUUUUUCUCUAUAGUUAAGAGUCCCUUAUGGUUUCUACCCCUUUUUCCCCUUUUCCCUUACGUUCAUCUGUUUUGUCUCUUAAAUUCAACAUAUAAGAGAAAUCAUAUGGUAUUUAACGUUCUCUGACUGACUUACUUUGCUUAGCAUAAUAACUCUAGUUCCUUCCACAUCAUUACAAAUGGCAAGAUUUCAUUCUUUAUGAUUGUUGAAUAAUA
RNAcentral lists this long non-coding RNA (1140 nucleotides) under Mustela putorius furo (domestic ferret). RNAcentral's name for it is "lncRNA (ENSMPUG00000030889.1)". The record is from RNAcentral. Lineage: Eukaryota; Metazoa; Chordata; Mammalia; Carnivora; Mustelidae.